Molecule: unclassified non-coding RNA, 473 nt
Filed under: Hevea brasiliensis (rubber tree)
Lineage: Eukaryota; Viridiplantae; Streptophyta; Magnoliopsida; Malpighiales; Euphorbiaceae
Source: RNAcentral
GAACAUCUGUGGAGAUCAAGAUGAAGAGAGAAUUGUAAGAGAGGAUUCUUGUAAACUAAGGUAAGAAGCAUGCACACACCAACAGAACCGAGUAUUGAACAGUAAGUUCAUUCCAUUUGUAUAAGCAAAAAGUUUCAUGCACUUUGCUAUAUCAUUGGAAAAUAUUGCUACACAAAAACAGAACAGCAAAUCAAAUAAUGGAGUCAAAUAUUGCUACACAGGAUAUGGUUGUACGAUAUUUGUUAGCAUAUACCAACUGGACUCACAAGAAGUUGUAGAGCAUAUGUGAGAGAUUUAUUGUUAUGUUCCCACAUUUUCAAUGGAAAAUGGGUUGCCUAAAUUAAUGCUGUACUUGUGCUUUUUUCUCUAUUUAAUUUUCUUUGCAGGUGGAAAAUGAGCAUCUUUUGGCCAGUAGGUGCUAUGAGAAAACAUCAGAGCAUCAGAAUUUUACUAUUUUUGCACCAAAAAAAAAA